GCCCGGCUGCUCUGACCGCGAGCGGCUGGGUGUCGGUGCCCUGCUCUCCUCUGGGCGCCAGGAUGUUCCUGCCCAGUGCGUGUCCAGAAUAGCCGCUCAGACACCGGCUCCAGAAGAACUAGGUAGCCUGUUCCCACUCAGAAACUCAUUCCACAUGGUUUGGGUGGUCCUACCACUGCCCUCACCCGCGUCAACAAAGGAGUGGGAACCGAACUCAGGCCCUGCCCAUCAGAUCAUCGAAUUCCUCUGGCCACAGUGAUUGGGUUGUGAUCAGUUAGGAUUCUGCACUUGUGACUGAAAAAUCCUUGUACAGGAACCAACCUUCUGGAAACUUCUCCCAUGUGUCAGAUCCUUGAUGACAAGGACCACAACCUGUGCUCUGUUUGCUGUCCCCACUGCCAUCACCAUCACACAGGCCCACAGCACCUAGCACUGGAUGAGACACAUCACAAAUCCUGGACAAACUCUUGCUGAAACCAUGACAUGUCGAUGGCCCUUCACAGAAGACUUCACAAAAGGCUUCCCAUAACCCUAUUAAUGGAAAAAGGUGACGUGGGCAGAGUAUGCAGUUGUACCUGUUGAAAUAAACAUGCUCUUU
This 598-nucleotide long non-coding RNA is filed under the name Homo sapiens (human). Its description in RNAcentral is "HSALNT0378119". The record is from RNAcentral. Lineage: Eukaryota; Metazoa; Chordata; Mammalia; Primates; Hominidae.